RNAcentral lists this ribosomal RNA (497 nucleotides) under uncultured bacterium. RNAcentral describes it as "partial 16S ribosomal RNA". It matches the Rfam family "Bacterial small subunit ribosomal RNA", at positions 28 to 507 of the family's 1533-position model. The record is from RNAcentral.
GACGAACGCUGGCGGCGUGCCUAAUACAUGCAAGUUGAGCGCUGAAGGUUGGUACUUGUACCGACUGGAUGAGCAGCGAACGGGUGAGUAACGCGUGGGGAAUCUGCCUUUGAGCGGGGGACAACAUUUGGAAACGAAUGCUAAUACCGCAUAAAAACUUUAAACACAAGUUUUAAGUUUGAAAGAUGCAAUUGCAUCACUCAAAGAUGAUCCCGCGUUGUAUUAGCUAGUUGGUGAGGUAAAGGCUCACCAAGGCGAUGAUACAUAGCCGACCUGAGAGGGUGAUCAGCCACAUUGAGACUGAGACACGGCCCAAACUCCUACGGGAGGCAGCAGUAGGGAAUCUUCGGCAAUGGACGAGAGUCUGACCGAGCAACGCCGCGUGAGUGAAGAAGGUUUUCGGAUCGUAAAACUCUGUUGGUAGAGAAGAACGUUGGUGAGAGUGGAAAGCUCAUCAAGUGACGGUAACUACCCAGAAAGGGACGGCUAACUACGUG